Molecule: ribosomal RNA, 200 nt
Filed under: uncultured bacterium
Lineage: Bacteria
Description: partial 16S ribosomal RNA
Rfam family: Bacterial small subunit ribosomal RNA
Source: RNAcentral
AGAGUUUGAUCCUGGCUCAGAAUAAACGUUGGCGGCGUGCUUAACACAUGCAAGUCGAGCGAGAAAGGUCUUCGGACUGAGUACAGCGGCAAACGGGUGAGUAACACGUGGGAAUCUACCUUUUAGUGAAGAAUACCCUCGAGAAAUCGAGGUUAAUACUGCAUACGUCUCGCAAGAGAGAAAGAUGGCCUCUUUGCUGU